UGCGGGUAUCGACCCCUGUAGUGCCGUAGUUAACGCGAUAAGUAUCCCGCCUGGGGAGUACGCACGCAAGUGUGAAACUCAAAGGAAUUGACGGGGACCCGCACAAGCGGUGGAACAUGUGGUUUAAUUCGAAGCAACGCGAAGAACCUUACCAGGGCUUGACAUCUGACGAACCUCUGUGAAAGCAGGGGGUGCUCUUCGGAGAGCGUCAAGACAGGUGGUGCACGGUUGUCGUCAGCUCGUGUCGUGAGAUGUUGGGUUAAGUCCCGCAACGAGCGCAACCCUUGUUGUUAGUUGCUUACGGUGGUACACUGCCGUAUAGCUCUCUAGCAAGACUGCCGGUGAUAAACCGGAGGAAGGUGAGGACGACGACAAAUCAUCAUGCCCCUUAUGCUCUGGGCUACACACGUGUUACAAUGGGUAGGACAACGAGCAGCCAACUCGCAAGAGUGAGCAAAUCUCUUAAAUCUAUCCUCAGUUCGGAUCGUAGUCUGCAACUCGACUACGUGAAGUCGGAAUCGCUAGUAAACGCAGAUCAGCACGCUGCGUUGAAUACGUUCCCGGGUCUUGUACACACCGCCCGUCACACCAUGGGAGUUGACCACGCCCAAAGCCGGUGAGCUAACCUUUUAGGAGGCAGCCGUCUAAGGCAGGGUUGAUGACUGGGGUGAAGUCGUAACAAGGUAGCCG
Molecule: ribosomal RNA, 690 nt
Filed under: uncultured bacterium
Lineage: Bacteria
Description: bacterial SSU rRNA
Rfam family: Bacterial small subunit ribosomal RNA
Source: RNAcentral